This 429-nucleotide ribosomal RNA is filed under the name Gemmatimonadota bacterium. RNAcentral describes it as "Gemmatimonadetes bacterium partial 16S ribosomal RNA". It matches the Rfam family "Bacterial small subunit ribosomal RNA", at positions 355 to 776 of the family's 1533-position model. Lineage: Bacteria; Pseudomonadati; Gemmatimonadota. The record is from RNAcentral.
UAGGGAAUCUUCGGCAAUGGACGAAAGUCUGACCGAGCAACGCCGCGUGAGUGAAGAAGGUUUUCGGAUCGUAAAACUCUGUUGUUAGAGAAGAACAAGGACGUUAGUAACUGAACGUCCCCUGACGGUAUCUAACCAGAAAGCUACGGCUAACUACGUGCCAGCAGCCGCGGUAUUACGUAGGUGGCAAGCGUUGUCCGGAAUUAUUGGGCGUAAAGCGCGCGCAGGCGGUUUUUUAAGUCUGACGUGUAAGCCACCGGCUCAACCGGGGAGGGUAAUUGGAGACUGGGAGACUUGGGUGCAGAAGAGGAGAGUGGAAUUCCAGAUGUAGCGGUGAAAUGCGUAGAUAUUUGGAGGAACACCAGUGGCGAAGGCGGCUCUCUGGACUGUAACUGACGCUGAGGCUCGAAAGCGUGGGGAGCAAACAGG